GUGCUCACUUUGGCAGCACACAUACUAAAAUUGGAACAAUACAGAGAAGAUUAGCAUGGCCCUGCAUCAGGAUGGCAUGCAAAUUUGUGAAGCAUUUCAUAUUUUG
This is a small nuclear RNA of Ochotona princeps (American pika), 106 nucleotides long. Lineage: Eukaryota; Metazoa; Chordata; Mammalia; Lagomorpha; Ochotonidae. The record is from RefSeq and is a predicted model, not a curated record.